Non-coding RNA from Triticum aestivum (bread wheat), 125 nucleotides. The record is from Rfam. Lineage: Eukaryota; Viridiplantae; Streptophyta; Magnoliopsida; Poales; Poaceae.
AAAAUACUCCCCCAGUACGGAAAUAUUUGUCGGAGAAAUUGAUGUAUCUAGACGUAUUUUAGUUUUAGAUACAUUCAUUUUUAUCCAUUUCGAUGACAAGUAUUUCCGGGCGGAGGGAGUAUAUG